GACGAACGCUGGCGGCGUGCUUAACACAUGCAAGUCGAACGGAAAGGCCCUGCUUGUGUGCGGUGCUCGAGUGGCGAACGGGUGAGUAACACGUGAGUAACCUGCCCUUGACUUUGGGAUAACUUCAGGAAACUGAGGCUAAUAUCGGAUAGGAGCUCCCGCUGCAUGGUGGGGGUUGGAAAGUUUCGGCGGUUGGGGAUGGACUCGCGGCUUAUCAGCUUGUUGGUUGGGUAGUGGCUUACCAAGGCUUUGAAGGGUAGGCGGCCUGAGAGGGUGACCGGCCACAUUGGGACUGAGAUACGGCCCAGACUCCAACGGGAGGCAGCGGUGGGGAGUAUUGCACAGUGGGCGGGAGCCUGAUGAGGCAACGCCGCGUGCGGGAAGACGGCCUUCGGGUUGUGAACCGCUUUCGCUUGUGACGAAGCGUUAGUGACGGUACUGGGUGAAGAAGCACCGGCUAACUACGUG
This 468-nucleotide ribosomal RNA is filed under the name uncultured bacterium. RNAcentral describes it as "partial 16S ribosomal RNA". It matches the Rfam family "Bacterial small subunit ribosomal RNA", at positions 28 to 507 of the family's 1533-position model. The record is from RNAcentral.